GCUGCACUCACACACUUUGGGGAGAAGCUUGGGAAGCCCAGUGAAAGGGGGCUGUAUCCGUGUGUGAUUACCGUGGGACUGGGAGCUGCAGCAGCUCCAGAAGUGACAGUCCUACAGAGCACCCUCUGGAACCUCUGAGCUGCCACCUAAGAAGUUUGCCUCAGCCGAGUCUGCCAUGCUGCAGGAGUGCUCCAGCUGACAGUCCCAGCUAGCCCUGCUUCCAGCCAUAGCUUCCAGGAUGUCAGACACGAAAUACUGCUUGAAGUGACUACUGAAAAGAUGCUGCUGCUGCUGCUGCUGCUGCUAAGUCGCUUCAGUUGUGUCCGACUCUGUUUGACCCCAUAGACGAAAGCCCACCAGG
This is a long non-coding RNA of Cervus elaphus (red deer), 361 nucleotides long. RefSeq lists it as uncharacterized. NCBI's taxonomy places the organism in Eukaryota, Metazoa, Chordata, Mammalia, Artiodactyla, Cervidae. The transcript is spliced from 3 exons. The record is from RefSeq and is a predicted model, not a curated record.